This 448-nucleotide long non-coding RNA is filed under the name Durio zibethinus. RNAcentral's name for it is "long non-coding RNA (DZIB_LNC001419)". The record is from RNAcentral. Lineage: Eukaryota; Viridiplantae; Streptophyta; Magnoliopsida; Malvales; Malvaceae.
AAAAGCCCAAUUUUAUUUAAGGCUAAAUCGAUAUUGCAAAGUCAAUGGCCAAGAAUUUCUUGAAGACAAGGAAAGCCACUGGCACUUCUGAGGUCCGGAGGAGAAAGCCAAAGAAGAAAAACAAGAGUGUAUUAGAGGGCAAUAAAGCUACUGAAGAUAAUGCUAACAAGCUAAAUUCAAGGAAAGAAAACCAACAAGAGGAUGCUACAACCAGUGCAUAGUGCGUAGAGAAGAGCUAGCAGAUACAAAAGAAUGAAGAAAAUACACAUGCAUCAGAUGUCCAGGAAAAUAGCUGUACGUUAAAUGACAGUCCCAAGAAGAGAAGAAUGGAAAAGGAGACCAGCUUUUUGAAUAAAAACUAAAAGAAUGAAGAAAAGCAGGAUGGUAAGAAAAAGAGAAAAUGGAAUGAGCAGAAGGAAAACACAGUAGUUCAGAGAAGAAUAACAAG